Molecule: ribosomal RNA, 524 nt
Filed under: uncultured Acaulosporaceae
Lineage: Eukaryota; Fungi; Glomeromycota; Glomeromycetes; Diversisporales; Acaulosporaceae
Description: SSU rRNA
Rfam family: Eukaryotic small subunit ribosomal RNA
Source: RNAcentral
AGCAGCCGCGGUAAUUCCAGCUCCAAUAGCGUAUAUUAAAGUUGUUGCAGUUAAAAAGCUCGUAGUUGAAUUUCGGGAUUUAUCCGUCGGUCGGGCUUUUGGGUCUGUACUGGCGUGAUGGAUUCCUACCUUCUGAAUAACCGGCAUGUCAUUAAUUUGGUGCGCUGGGGAAGCAGGACUGUUACCUUGAAAAAAUUAGAGUGCUUAAAGCAGGCUAUUGCCUGAAUACAUUAGCAUGGAAUAAUGAAAUAGGACGGCAUGGUUCUAUUUUGUUGGUUUCUAGGAUCACCGUAAUGAUUAAUAGGGAUAGUUGGGGGCAUUAGUAUUCAAUUGUCAGAGGUGAAAUUCUUGGAUUUAUUGAAGACUAACUUCUGCGAAAGCAUUUGCCAAGGAUGUUUUCAUUAAUCAAGAACGAAAGUUAGGGGAUCGAAGACGAUCAGAUACCGUCGUAGUCUUAACCAUAAACUAUGCCGACUAGGGAUCGGACGAUGUUAAUUUUUUAAUGACUCGUUCGGCGCCUUACG